RNAcentral lists this ribosomal RNA (431 nucleotides) under uncultured bacterium. RNAcentral's name for it is "partial 16S ribosomal RNA". It matches the Rfam family "Bacterial small subunit ribosomal RNA", at positions 338 to 795 of the family's 1533-position model. The record is from RNAcentral.
CCUACGGGGGGCAGCAGUGAGGAAUAUUGGACAAUGGGCGAAAGCCUGAUCCAGCAAUACCGCGUGAGUGAAGAAGGCCUUAGGGUUGUAAAGCUCUUUCAGCAGGAAUAUGGUACCUGCAAAAGAAGUUCCGGCUAACUCCGUGCCAGCAGCCGCGGUAAUACGGAGGGAACUAGCGUUGUUCGGAUUUACUGGGCGUAAAGGGCGCGUAGGCGGUCUGUUAAGUUAGAAGUGAAAGCCUGGGGCUUAACCCCAGAACUGCUUCUAAAACUGGCAAACUAGAGUGCGGGAGAGGAUAGUGGAAUUCCUAGUGUAGAGGUGAAAUUCUUAGAUAUUAGGAGGAACACCGGUGGCGAAAGCGACUAUCUGACGCAACUGACGCUGAGGCGCGAAAGCGUGGGGAGCAAACAGGAUUAGAUACCCUUGUAGUC